GAGUUUGAUCGUGGCUCAGGACGAACGCUGGCGGCGUGCUUAACACAUGCAAGUCGAACGGUGACGACGGAGCUUGCUCUGUCUGAUCAGUGGCGAACGGGUGAGUAACACGUGAGUAACCUGCCCCCGACUCUGGAAUAACCGUGGGAACGACGGCUAAUACCGGAUAUGAGACGCACAGGCAUCUGUGUGUCUGGAAAGAUUUAUCGGUCAGGGAUGGACUCGCGGCCUAUCAGCUUGUUGGUGGGUAAUGGCCCACCAAGGCGACGACGGGUAGCCGGCCUGAGAGGGCGACCGGCCGACACUGGGACUGAGAUACGGCCCAGACUCCUACGGGAGGCAGCAGUGGGGAAUAUUGCACAAUGGGCGCAAGCCUGAUGCAGCGACGCCGCGUGAGGGAUGAAGGCC
Molecule: ribosomal RNA, 408 nt
Filed under: uncultured bacterium
Lineage: Bacteria
Description: bacterial SSU rRNA
Rfam family: Bacterial small subunit ribosomal RNA
Source: RNAcentral